RNAcentral lists this ribosomal RNA (429 nucleotides) under uncultured archaeon. RNAcentral describes it as "bacterial SSU rRNA". It matches the Rfam family "Archaeal small subunit ribosomal RNA", at positions 474 to 903 of the family's 1478-position model. The record is from RNAcentral.
UACCAGUUCUCCGAGUGGUAGGGAUGAUUAUUGGGCUUAAAGCGUCCGUAGCCGGCUUAGCAAGUCUCCUGUUAAAUUCAGCGACCUAAUCGUUGAGCCGCGGGAGAUACUACUAGGCUAGGAGGCGGGAGAGGUCAACGGUACUUCCGGGGUAGGGGUGAAAUCCUAUAAUCCCGGGAGGACCACCAGUGGCGAAGGCUGUUGACUAGAACGCGCUCGACGGUGAGGGACGAAAGCUGGGGGAGCGAACCGGAUUAGAUACCCGGGUAGUCCCAGCUGUAAACGAUGCGAGCUAGGUGUUGGGGUGGCUACGUGCCACUUCAGUGCCGCAGGGAAGCCAUUAAGCUCGCCGCCUGGGGAGUACGGCCGCAAGGCUGAAACUUAAAGGAAUUGGCGGGGGAGCACCACAAGGCGUGAAGCUUGCGGUUC